RNAcentral lists this long non-coding RNA (1427 nucleotides) under Salmo salar (Atlantic salmon). RNAcentral describes it as "lncRNA (ENSSSAG00000086593.1, ENSSSAG00000089177.1)". The record is from RNAcentral. Lineage: Eukaryota; Metazoa; Chordata; Actinopteri; Salmoniformes; Salmonidae.
UUAGUGUAUACUACCUACCUGGAUGGAUGGUUCUAGACAGGUGUUCAGUGUGUUAGUUGUAUACUACCUACCUGGAUGGAUGGAUGGAUGGUUCUAGACAGGUGUUCAGUGUGUUAGUGUAUACUACCUACCUGGAUGGAUGGUUCUAGACAGGUGUUUAGUAUAUACUACCUACCUGGAUGGAUGGUUCUAGAUAUUUGUUGAAUAGACAGCAUGGGUUCUCUUCCCCUAACCCCUGGUCUCAGGAACGAUUGGGUUAGUGUAUUGUUACAGCUGUGGGCGGACGACUAGCUAGCCGUUGACAGAAACAAAUUCACAGUAUAAUAGUCCACGGAUAAAGUAUCUACCACAGUACAGAUGAGCUAUUAUAAUAUUUAACCAUUUCUCAUUCUCUCACGUUAUGUGAUUAACCCCAAUAUACUGAACAAACAUAUAAACGCAACACUGAGUUAUAGUUCAUAAAAAAGGAAAUCCAGUCAAUUGAAAUAAAUGAAUUAGGCCAUAAUCUAUGGAUGUCACAUGACUGGGCAGGUUGCAGCCAUGGGUGGGCCUUGGUGGGCAAAGGCCCAACUGCUUGGCUGCCAGGCCCAGCCAAUCAGAAUGAGUAUACUCCUCAGCCCUCCCCCAGACGAUCCAUCAGAUGAAGAAGCCGGAAGUGGAGGUCCUGGGUUGGCGUGGUAACUUGUGGUCUCUGCGGUUGUGAGGCCGGUUGGAUGUACUGCCAAAUUCUCUAAAACGACGUUGGAGGAGGCUUAUGGUAGAGAUAUUAACAUUUAAUUAUCUGUAAACAGCUCUGGUGGACAUUCCUGUAGUCAGCAUGGCAAUUGCGCACUCCCUCAAAACAUCAGACAUCUGUGGCAUUGUGUUGCGUGACAAAACUUCACAUUUAAGUGGUCUUUUAUUAUCCCCAGCACAAGGUGCACCUGUGUAAUGAUCAUGAUGUUUGUUUUUCUUCUUGAUGUGCCACACCUGUCAGGUGGAUGGAUUAUUUUGGCAAAGGAGUAAUGCUCACUAACAGGGAUGUAAACGAAUUUGUGCACAACAUUUUAGAGAAAUCAGCUUUUUAUGCGUAUGGAACAUUUCUGGGAUCUUUUAUUUCAGCUCAUGAAACAUGGGACCAACACUUUACAUUUUGUGUUUUAUAUUUUUGUUCGGUGUAUUUAGGGGAGUUGAAUUAGGGGGACCAUUCAAACAGCUGCUGAGAUCACCGAGGUGGUCGAUCGUUCGGGACACUGCCCUAGUCUAACAGGCAAUGCACUAUAGAGCCAUCAGGUCUUAACAGGCUAGUUUCCAUAGGCAUGACCAAUCUAGGCAUUUUAAUUCUAUGGUAGUCUCUGCCACUCCCCAGCCAAUAAAAUUAAACCAAAUGACAUGCCUAUGGUAGUCUCUGCCACUCCCCAGCCAAUCAAAUUAAACCAAAUGACAUG